AUGAGCUCACCUUGCCAGUGGACGAGAGACCAUGAAAAAACCACAGUGGAAUUAGCAUCACUGGGGUCUGUAAGAGUGCCCAAGAAGUCACGUAACUACCAUUCACCUGGAAAUGCUGCAGGAUGGACAGAGAAGUGGAAGAAUGUGAAAGAAAAUCAGAAAGGCUGUUGCAGGAAAAAAAGACAAAACACAGAAUAUGGCAAAAGAGUUCUAAUCAGACUGACCUUCUACAUGGCACUGGAAUUAUUGGUGUACCCUGUAUACAUGCUGCAAAUGAUACACUGUCUCUGCAUCAGCCUGUGCUGA
Long non-coding RNA from Zonotrichia albicollis (white-throated sparrow), 306 nucleotides. NCBI's taxonomy places the organism in Eukaryota, Metazoa, Chordata, Aves, Passeriformes, Passerellidae. The record is from Ensembl.